RNAcentral lists this transfer RNA (70 nucleotides) under Dipodomys ordii (Ord's kangaroo rat). It matches the Rfam family "tRNA". From Rfam's summary of the family: Transfer RNA (tRNA) molecules are approximately 80 nucleotides in length. Their secondary structure includes four short double-helical elements and three loops (D, anti-codon, and T loops). Lineage: Eukaryota; Metazoa; Chordata; Mammalia; Rodentia; Heteromyidae. The record is from Rfam by way of RNAcentral.
GGUAUUAUGGCUUCGUGGUAGAGUGCUUGCCUAGAACGCAUGAAGUCCUGGGUUCGAUUCCUCAGUACCA